GGGGCUGUAUCUCAGUUGGUAGAGAGCCUGCCUUGCAAGCAGGAGGUCAGCGGUUCGAGCCCGCUCAGCUCCA
This 73-nucleotide transfer RNA is filed under the name Candidatus Woesearchaeota archaeon. Its description in RNAcentral is "tRNA-Ala". It matches the Rfam family "tRNA". Rfam says of the family: Transfer RNA (tRNA) molecules are approximately 80 nucleotides in length. The record is from RNAcentral. Lineage: Archaea; Nanobdellati; Candidatus Woesearchaeota.